GGAAUUGUCUCUUCCUCUCAUUCCCACUUUCCCAGGUGCCUCACUGGGGUUGGAGAAGGAAUCCUGGUCAUUCUUCUCAAAGGUGGGCAGAGUCUCUCCCUAAGGAAGAUAUCCCAUUGUUUUUGUAGGAAUUGGAGAGAUCUCCAAAGUCAGAUCCCAGUUUUUGUAAUGCCAGCAACAUCCUGUGAAGAUCUCUGGAAGUCCAGAUCUGUUUUGUGGAGAGAUGGACAAGGGGAGAAUUCCCAAAGCAAAGACUUCUGUGAGUUCUUGCCUUGGAAGAGUUCCUUGACAGCAAGACAAGCUGCUUAAUUACAUGAAACAGGGAAAGAAAACUUGCAUUGGUUUGAAUUUUGCACCUUUGAAUUUGUCUCUUUCCCUGGCAUUGCUCCCCUGCCCUGACCCGGAGGGGUGAUGCUGUUUUGGGAGAGCAGUUGUUAACCUUGGAGCUGAGCUGUAAACACCCCCAGAAUUUGGGGUAAUUUCCCCAAGGCUGGGCUCUGAUGGAGGCAAUUCUCAGAAAUUAACAGAUAGCAGGUAAUUGAUGAUCUUUGAGGAUGUUGUCUCCAUAGAUUCCCACUCCAGCUUCCCUCCCUGUUUCUUUAGAAUGUAAUUUAUGGUUGGUUCUCAGAGGAGGUCACAAAAAAUCCUGGAGACAGGUGGGAACACACACCCUGUUUAAAAACUUCCACAUGAGGUUCCCUGCCACUCAAAAGUCAUAAUUAGUGAAUAUUCUCAGGCUUGCAACCAGAGGCUGGAAUUUGUGGAUAAACUUAACUUGAGGAACAUCUCAUGAAGUAAAUUUUCCUUUUUAGUACUGAGAAACAUAAUGAAAACCCACCUGGAAUUUAAAUCUCAGGAAUGUGGCAUCAUCUGGGAACUUUUGAUGGUGCUCAGGGCAGAUAUUGAUGUUUUUCUGGUUCUGUGAGUGGCAGGUAGGUCAGGACCUGUCUCAUCAUGAUUUGUCCUCACUGGGUCAUCUUUAUGAUAAAAUAGCAAUGGACAUUAACACUGAAAUUUGGGAAAAUCAGUGUAUUUGAAAGCUAAAAACCCAAUCCUGUUCUGAUCUUUAGCAUUAUAAAUUUCCCUUUUUUAUUUUACUGAAUUUAAGCAAAUUCUCCUGAUUAAUUUUUUCUCCAGAAGGGCUUUUUAAAAUCCAGUAGAAUGCAGGAUUGUGCAUGGCUAAAAUCCACCCUUGUAAUCCCAAAGUGAUAUUUGAUAACCACCACUUUUAGGGGACAGAUGGCAGAGUAAAACUUUCUAUAUUUCACCGAAAAUAUCAGUUUUCACAAGAGGCAGUCAGAAUUUGGGAAUUAAGGGUAGGGAUACCAUAAAACCAUGAAAAAAGUGUUCAUUAUCCACUCACUGCUGAUUUGAAGCAGCAUCAUUUCUUGCCCAGGAAAUAUUUUUAGCCAAAAUCAAAAGAAAUCAAAGAAAUUGAAGCAAAUAUUCCUGUGUCUGUAUCAGGGAAGAAACACUGGCAACAAAUCAGUUUUUAACACUACUUUUAGUGCUCCUAGUAGAAUUAUCUGAAUAAAGUUACUACCUUUUAAAACUUAUCA
RNAcentral lists this long non-coding RNA (1559 nucleotides) under Cyanistes caeruleus (blue tit). Its description in RNAcentral is "lncRNA (ENSCCEG00000018723.1)". Lineage: Eukaryota; Metazoa; Chordata; Aves; Passeriformes; Paridae. The record is from RNAcentral.